RNAcentral lists this ribosomal RNA (307 nucleotides) under uncultured eukaryote. RNAcentral's name for it is "partial 18S ribosomal RNA". It matches the Rfam family "Eukaryotic small subunit ribosomal RNA", at positions 1470 to 1796 of the family's 1831-position model. The record is from RNAcentral.
CCCUUAGACGUUCUGGGCCGCACGCGCGCUACACUGACAAAGGCAACGAGCUACUCUUCACCGAAAGGUGUGGGUAAUCUUUUGAAACUUUGUCGUGCUGGGGAUAGAUCCUUGCAAUUUUUGAUCUUAAACGAGGAAUUCCUAGUAAGCGCAAGUCAUCAACUUGCGUUGAUUACGUCCCUGCCCUUUGUACACGCCGCCCGUCGCUACUACCGAUUGAAUGGUUUAGUGAGGCCUUCGGAUCCGCGACUCGUUUGUGGAGAAGUUGGACAAACUCAGUCAUUUAGAGGAAGUAAAAGUCGUAACA